This 189-nucleotide ribosomal RNA is filed under the name uncultured bacterium. RNAcentral's name for it is "partial 16S ribosomal RNA". It matches the Rfam family "Bacterial small subunit ribosomal RNA", at positions 338 to 524 of the family's 1533-position model. The record is from RNAcentral.
CCUACGGGAGGCAGCAGUAGGGAAUAUUGGGCAAUGGGAGCAAUCCUGACCCAGCCAUGCCGCGUGAAGGAAGACGGCCCUAUGGGUUGUAAACUUCUUUUGCCGCAGAGUAAACCCGGUCACGUGUGGCCGGUUGAGAGUAUGCGGCGAAUAAGUAUCGGCUAACUCCGUGCCAGCAGCCGCGGUAAU